UAUGAUCCAGAGUACCACGGGACACGUGAAACCCUGUGGGAAGCAGGAGGGACCACCCUCCAAGGCUAAAUACUACCUAGUGACCGAUAGCGUAUAGUACCGUGAGGGAAAGGUGAAAAGAACCCCGGGAGGGGAGUGAAAUAGAACCUGAAACCCUGCACUUACAAGCUGUGGAAGCACAUUUCUUGUGUGACCGCGUACUUUUUGUAGAACGGGCCAACGAGUUACGUUAAGUAGCCAGGUUAAGCACUUAAGGUGCGGAGCCGUAGCGAAAGCGAGUUUUAACUGAGCGUUCAGUUACUUGACGUAGACCCGAAACCGGGCGACCUACCCAUGAGCAGGAUGAAGCGAAAGUAAAAUUUCGUGGAGGUCCGAACCCACGAGCGUUGAAAAGCUCGGGGAUGACUUGUGGGUAGCGGUGAAAUUCCAAUCGAGCCCGGAGAUAGCUGGUUCU
Molecule: ribosomal RNA, 454 nt
Filed under: Clostridioides difficile
Lineage: Bacteria; Bacillati; Bacillota; Clostridia; Peptostreptococcales; Peptostreptococcaceae
Description: bacterial LSU rRNA
Rfam family: Bacterial large subunit ribosomal RNA
Source: RNAcentral